Molecule: ribosomal RNA, 636 nt
Filed under: uncultured Dechloromonas sp.
Lineage: Bacteria; Pseudomonadati; Pseudomonadota; Betaproteobacteria; Rhodocyclales; Azonexaceae
Description: bacterial SSU rRNA
Rfam family: Bacterial small subunit ribosomal RNA
Source: RNAcentral
GCAAGAUUAAANUCAAAGNAUUGACGGGGACCCGCACAAGCGGUGGAUGAUGUGGAUUAAUUCGAUGCAACGCGAAAAACCUUACCUACCCUUGACAUGUCAGAAACUUGGCAGAGAUGCCUUGGUGCCCGAAAGGGAAUCUGAACACAGGUGCUGCAUGGCUGUCGUCAGCUCGUGUCGUGAGAUGUUGGGUUAAGUCCCGCAACGAGCGCAACCCUUGUCGUUAAUUGCCAUCAUUUAGUUGGGCACUUUAACGAGACUGCCGGUGACAAACCGGAGGAAGGUGGGGAUGACGUCAAGUCCUCAUGGCCCUUAUGGGUAGGGCUUCACACGUCAUACAAUGGUCGGUACAGAGGGUUGCCAAGCCGCGAGGUGGAGCCAAUCCCAGAAAGCCGAUCGUAGUCCGGAUUGCAGGCUGCAACUCGCCUGCAUGAAGUCGGAAUCGCUAGUAAUCGCGGAUCAGCAUGUCGCGGUGAAUACGUUCCCGGGUCUUGUACACACCGCCCGUCACACCAUGGGAGCGGGUUCCGCCAGAAGUAGGUAGCCUAACCGCAAGGGGGGCGCUUACCACGGCGGGGUUCGUGACUGGGGUGAUAGUCGUAACAAGGUAGCCGUAGGGGAACCUGCGGCUGGAUC